RNAcentral lists this ribosomal RNA (253 nucleotides) under uncultured bacterium. RNAcentral's name for it is "partial 16S ribosomal RNA". It matches the Rfam family "Bacterial small subunit ribosomal RNA", at positions 524 to 776 of the family's 1533-position model. The record is from RNAcentral.
UACGGGGGGGGCAAGCGUUGUUCGGAAUUACUGGGCGUAAAGGGCUCGUAGGUGGCCAACUAAGUCAGACGUGAAAUCCCUCGGCUUAACCGGGGAACUGCGUCUGAUACUGGAUGGCUUGAGAUUGGGAGAGGGAUGCGGAAUUCCAGGUGUAGCGGUGAAAUGCGUAGAUAUCUGGAGGAACACCGGUGGCGAAGGCGGCAUCCUGGACCGACACUGACGCUGAGGCGCGAAAGCUAGGGGAGCAAACGGG